AGCGAACGCUGGCGGCAGGCCUAACACAUGCAAGUCGAACGGAUCCUUCGGGAUUAGUGGCGGACGGGUGAGUAACACGUGGGAACGUGCCCUUUGGUUCGGAACAACUCAGGGAAACUUGAGCUAAUACCGGAUGUGCCCUUCGGGGGAAAGAUUUAUCGCCAUUGGAGCGGCCCGCGUCUGGUUAGCUGGUUGGUGAGGUAACGGCCCACCAAGGCGACGAUCAGUAGCUGGUCUGAGAGGAUGAUCAGCCACACUGGGACUGAGACACGGCCCAGACUCCUACGGGAGGCAGCAGUGGGGAAUCUUGCGCAAUGGGCGAAAGCCUGACGCAGCCAUGCCGCGUGAAUGAUGAAGGUCUUAGGAUUGUAAAAUUCUUUCAGCGGGGACGAUAAUGACGGUACCCGCAGAAGAAGCUCCGGCUAACUUCGUG
RNAcentral lists this ribosomal RNA (433 nucleotides) under uncultured bacterium. RNAcentral's name for it is "partial 16S ribosomal RNA". It matches the Rfam family "Bacterial small subunit ribosomal RNA", at positions 29 to 507 of the family's 1533-position model. The record is from RNAcentral.